RNAcentral lists this ribosomal RNA (452 nucleotides) under uncultured beta proteobacterium. RNAcentral's name for it is "bacterial SSU rRNA". It matches the Rfam family "Bacterial small subunit ribosomal RNA", at positions 62 to 509 of the family's 1533-position model. Lineage: Bacteria; Pseudomonadati; Pseudomonadota; Betaproteobacteria. The record is from RNAcentral.
UCGAACGGCAGCACGGGGGCAACCCUGGUGGCGAGUGGCGAACGGGUGAGUAAUACAUCGGAACGUGUCCUGUAGUGGGGGAUAGCCCGGCGAAAGCCGGAUUAAUACCGCAUACGCUCUACGGAGGAAAGGGGGGGAUCUUAGGACCUCUCGCUACAGGGGCGGCCGAUGGCAGAUUAGCUAGUUGGUGGGGUAAAGGCCUACCAAGGCGACGAUCUGUAGCUGGUCUGAGAGGACGACCAGCCACACUGGGACUGAGACACGGCCCAGACUCCUACGGGAGGCAGCAGUGGGGAAUUUUGGACAAUGGGCGCAAGCCUGAUCCAGCAAUGCCGCGUGUGUGAAGAAGGCCUUCGGGUUGUAAAGCACUUUUGUCCGGAAAGAAAACGUCGUGGUUAAUACCCGUGGCGGAUGACGGUACCGGAAGAAUAAGCACCGGCUAACUACGUGCC